This 2659-nucleotide unclassified non-coding RNA is filed under the name Orussus abietinus. RNAcentral's name for it is "uncharacterized LOC105697811, transcript variant X4". The record is from RNAcentral. Lineage: Eukaryota; Metazoa; Arthropoda; Insecta; Hymenoptera; Orussidae.
AAAGAAGAGAAAAGAAGCGUGGAAAUAUAAGAAAGAGAAACAGGCGAGGCUAGGUGUGAUUUUCCAAAGAAGGAUAAGGGUUAGCGAUAACUGCGGAACGAUUACGAGUGGCCAAAGGUCUGCACGUCGCGUAAUUUCUCAGAGAGCCACCGAAUGCCGGAGAAGAGAAGUGGGAAUGUUCGAUAGUGCGUUCUUCUCGAGAUCCGAGGGUCUUCGAGUCGGUUAACCAGUGUUUGUCGUGGAAACGAAGCGCAAUCGACGACAACGGUCCAGACCUGCCAGAUGGCGAUUAAAAUUGCCGAAAGCAUCGUCGAGUCAAUGGCAUCGGCUGUCGAGUUUGCAGCCGGAAUAUCUUUGGGCCAAUCGUUCCUUAAAUUAUGCGAUCGGUUCCUUUGGGUCAUUGAGAAAUCGACUCAGUGGAGUUUACCGAUGCAAGAGAUCACCGUUGAAGAGAAUGGAAAGGUGUUCGGACAGAAGGAGCUGGUCAGACCUCUUCCGUGGGUUCUCUUUAUUCCGGGUCUGAUCAUUCUAAGAGCAAUCAGGACGAUCCUAAAUGUAGGAUCCUUCAUUCUGGGAUAUCCAGAGGUUCAACCAACUAGAAUGGUACAAUUUAUCCAGAAAAGCCGCAAGCAACUUAGAACAAUCAAGACCAACGGCUUAAAGACCAUACGCCAACGAAAACUGGGCAUUGAAUCGGAGACUGCGGUGUCUAAAGAAAAGUCUGUUGUUGAUUCUGCAACAAGCCCAAUGCAGGUCGGCACAAAGCGGACGUACAGUCGAUAUAGUUCGGACGAAUCGGAUGGCGGAGAAAAAGACAUUCUGCAGUCUAUAAUUGCCCAUCUAGCUGUGGAGAGCGACGAGAAUGAUCCCGAUUUUGACGUAGAAAACUGUUCUUCAACUACUGCAACUUCGGACGAAAACGUGUCCUUACACGAGGUAGCCGAUCUUCUCGAAGAUGCGAAAAACCCGAAUAUUUUUCCUGAUCCGAAAGAUCUCGAAGAAUACGUUCAACAACGUAACACGGUUGCUGAUAUAGCCUGUGAUGCAUCUGAUGAAAAAAUUGGUUUCGGCAGAUCCGAGUGUGGAAGACUUACACCGAACAAACUUGGGAUAGACAACGAACCUGGAGUAUUCUAUUCUCCUAUCAGUUCAAAGAGCACUUCCCCGGAGAGACUGGUAUCCCCCACUGAUCUUGAAAUAUUGCUGUCACCGUCGGAUAACUCAACCCCGAAAGACGUGGGCAAUGGGAAACUGAAUUCUAAUACCGUCUCCUCAACAUCAACAGCGAACGUAACGAAUGACCAAACUGAAGAUAAACGAGUGCCGCUUACUGGUAGUAAAGCUUAUUGUAAAGGAAAGCGCAUUAACUAUGGCAAUCGCAACAAUCACGGAAACCGAAAGAAGAAAUAGAAGGGGCUUUUUAAUUUCAAUCCAGUAAUGAUUAAAUUUGUUGUUCUUACCAAAUGAAUUAAUGAAAGUGAGAUAUUUUAUAAAACUUUUUUCUGAGCUAUGUAUACCGAAUCGUUUGAAAUUUUACCAUACAAAUCCUAUGAAAGUUCCUGUCAUAAAUGGAAGUUCAUUUAAAAAAUUGAGUUAUAAAUCAUUUUUUUAAUUUUCUAUAAAAAUAAAAUUGUACAGGUGUCGUGACUUUCUUUAGGGCUCCCAUAUUAACUUGGUAAUAUUUCAAAUAAUUUGAUACAUCCAAUAUGGACAACAUUUUCAUAAAAUAUUGAUCCCACAGAUGCUUUCAUAUUACCUUAUGUGAUACGUAUUUAACAAAAAUUUCUUUUCUGUUACACUUGAGAGCGUUUAACGAGAGUUAUGUGUCAUGGAAAAAGUUAGUUGCUCACAGGUUGUUUUUUGUAUGCACUGUCCCACCCCUCCUAAAGUUGUUAAGCGCUUAUUACAUUGUUUGAAGUAAUGUAACUAUAUGCUUUGUAUGGUUACUGAAUCUUCUUUUCGUCGCCAAUUGUACAUCAUGGCCCGAAUCUUUGUAAUAUGUCAAAUAUUUUGGUUAAUGCAAGACAGGAAUGGGUUAACCUCAACACGUGCGAUCUGAAAUGAGAAAAAAUUACUAAAUUACAAAUUACCAUAAGUUGUAGUAAGUUCUGUACCUCGUCAUAUAUUAUGUAGCGUGUAUCUUUAAAAAUACCAUGCGCACUUUAUAUGUAUUUAACAUUUCUCUUAAAAGAUUACGAACUAAAUGUUCAUCAAGGUGUUUAUCACUCCAGCAAGUAAAGAUUAUGAAAGUGUUCCUCAACCGAUUAAAUCGAUCAAAUGUCCGUUUCAAAAAUGAAGUAUAGAUGCAUGUUUAAAUAGGAGGUUCACCACGGACACGAAUGCCUUCCCAUUAUAUGCUAACGGCACAAUAUUUGUAAGGGAGGCAUCCAUAUCCGUUAGUGUACAUGAUGAAAAUUAGGGUCCGAAUAGGAAAUAAUUAAAUAUGUUUAAGAACUUUCUUGUCUUUCCUCAAGAUGAAAUGAAAGUGGCGUCCGAUAUGUCAAAAUAUUUAUAAAACUUUUCUCCGAAUUGAGUGCAUUGAAUUAUUUGAAUCCGAUGCGGUUUUUUUUAUAGGAUAAAGCAUAGAAAUAAGAAACUAGGAGAAUGAAUACAAUACUAUAAGAAUUCACGUAAAAUUGAGUAAAGAUCUUCCUUUUUA